AAAAUAAGUCCUUUGUUAACAUCGAGUACAAACCGUUUUAGUAAAAGCGUCCAAUGCUCUACUAAUACUAACCCCGAGUCUAAACGAUCAUGUCAUCAGCAAUCAUCUGUAUCAUCAACUAGUCAAUCCAAUAUCAUCAUUACUCCUGUUAAUGUAACCAGUUCCACGAAUAAUCAUCCCAGUGUUAAUAACGUUAGCAACACUUCUGCUUUCACGCACACUGCUAACAAUACCAAUGCAGAAAAUUUGAAUGGAUCAAAUAAGCAGAGACUUGUUACAUCAUCACAUCAGAAUAACUCGUUAAAAGAUGCUUCUGUCAAUUCAUCUUACUCUGACUCGUCAACAACAAACAUGACUAGGAAACUACAUCGAAAACAAACAGAAAUUAAUAAUGCUUCUGUGUUGAACAAACAUAAAUCCCAAUCAAGUAGAGUUAGAUAUCCGCAG
This 447-nucleotide long non-coding RNA is filed under the name Lupinus mutabilis. RNAcentral describes it as "partial ncRNA". The record is from RNAcentral. Lineage: Eukaryota; Viridiplantae; Streptophyta; Magnoliopsida; Fabales; Fabaceae.